GAUGAACGCUGGCGGCGUGCCUAAUACAUGCAAGUCGAGCGAACAGACGAGGAGCUUGCUCCUCUGACGUUAGCGGCGGACGGGUGAGUAACACGUGGAUAACCUACCUAUAAGACUGGGAUAACUUCGGGAAACCGGAGCUAAUACCGGAUAAUAUAUUGAACCGCAUGGUUCAAUAGUGAAAGACGGUUUUGCUGUCACUUAUAGAUGGAUCCGCGCCGCAUUAGCUAGUUGGUAAGGUAACGGCUUACCAAGGCGACGAUGCGUAGCCGACCUGAGAGGGGGAUCGGCCACACUGGAACUGAGACACGGGCCAGACUCCUACGGGAGGCAGAAGUAGGGAAUCUUCCGCAAGGGGCGAAAGCCUGACGGAGCAACGCCGCGUGAGUGAUGAAGGUCUUCGGAUCGUAAAACUCUGUUAUUAGGGAAGAAAAAAUGUGUAAGUAACUAUGCACGUCUUGAGGGUACCUAAUCAGAAAGCCAGGGCUAACUACGGG
RNAcentral lists this ribosomal RNA (497 nucleotides) under uncultured bacterium. RNAcentral describes it as "partial 16S ribosomal RNA". It matches the Rfam family "Bacterial small subunit ribosomal RNA", at positions 28 to 507 of the family's 1533-position model. The record is from RNAcentral.